UGUAAAGGUGAAAAUGACGGGAAAUAAAAUCUUCCAGGAGAUCUGGUCCAUAUGCUACUGCUCACCGUGGCUGGAGUCUCAGAUCCAACCAUUGUGCUGGCUGCCUGCUGCCCAGACUGAGUGGGGUGAACUCAGGACAGAGCCUUGUUUUUGGCAUGAAUGCCUCUGCCUUCCCUUGCUGACACAUUCCCUCCACCACUCAAGAAUGCUCAGCGGCCUCUGCCAGGUUGAGAAUGCCUGGCUAUGACAGCACCAUUUGCAAAGUAAAGAGUCUAUUUAUGAAGAUAAUGGCAAAGCCCAGACCAGGCCCACUGUGGGAGAAUCUUGGCUCGUAAUUAGCAAGAACAGUGCAUUUUAAUGAGGAUGCCUGGUAGGCAGUCGGCUCCUGCCCGGACUGCCAACGAAUCUGGGGCAGAGGGAGUGUUGGCAGCGAGGCCAAGGAGCAGGUGAGGGGAACAACAUAGAAGAAAAUUCGCUCAUCUUUCGGGAGCUUGAACGCUUUAGGAUUGUUUCAUUUCCCCAUUACCCUGGCUGUCGUCCCUUGGGUUGUUUCUCUGGAAGCAAACAGCUCAGAGAAGAUCUAUCAGACCUGGUAACUAGCAAUCCCAAGCAUUGCUGAAGUGAGAGGCAAAGGCCUAAGGGUCUUGGGGUGGAGGCUCAGAAAUGUGGGCAUUUUAUUUUCCCUGAAAGGCAAUUAGGCCAUUGCUAUGAAGCCUGUGGAGAAGCUGGAAGCUCAAAGCCUUCUGAAGAGAAUAGCUAUGGCGUUUGAAGCUGUGAACCCUGGUGGGGGUGAUGUUAUUACCAAGGUUGGCUUAAGCCAGACCUUUGAGCUUUGUUGCUGGAGGUUGACAAACUACUGCUGAGGGGCAUGACCUAAGGAAAAUGGAACUUCUCGGCCUCUCUGUUAUUUCAGAGUUCCGGCUCAGGGCGAGUGGGCUUCCCAUCGAACAGGAUGAAUGUCCAUGUGUAGCGGUUGUACCAAUGACACUCUCUCACGCCCCUCCUUUUCUGGCCUGGCAAGGACACCUCUAGAAUGAAGAACAAUUUUCCCUUUGCACUCUGAAAGGAAAAUUAACACAGCAAGACCUUUAACACUGAGCGCCAACAGCUGUGAGAGAUGGCUCAGCAGUUAAAAGCACUGGCUGUUCAUUCAGAAGACCUGAGUUCAAUUCCCAGCAUCCAAAGGUGGCUCACAACUGCUUGGAUCUCCAGUUUCAGGUAACCUGACACUUCCUUGGAAACACCUAUACAAUUGAUAUAUACAUCAUAGACAUCAUACAGACACAUACACAUACACAUACAUAUAUACAUUUUAUUCCAGGGGCAAAGGCAAGAUUGGGGACCUGUAGCUAUUGCUUUGAACAAACUGAAUUGGAGAUGAACAGGCUGAGAGAAUCCACGAGCUUCUCGGUUGCUCAGUCCAUGAGGUGAUCUGCUGGAAUCCUGAAGAAGCGAUUUUAAUACUGGGGAAGGAAUGCCUCGGUAACAGGAUGCCUCGUUAAGAGCAUACCUGAAUUUGCCAGCAAGAUUGAAAGCAAGCAGGCAAAAGGCUUCAGCGUAGCAGGGAACUAGGUUUGCUAAUACUCUGAGAAUGCUAGUUGACCUAGAAAAGACAAGCCUGAAUCGUUAAAAUCCAUUCCCAUGGGCCGUACAGAAGGAUGGAGAGAUUGGUCAGUGGUGGCUGCUCUGAGGGAUGGACUGGAAGACCAGAACCAGAUUGCCUCUCCGGGUCACAGAUUGUUGUCUGAAGACUAGGAGGGGGCUCAAUGAUCUAUGUUGGAAGAGCAUACCCUCACUGAAUACAGAAUAGCCAGGUUGAAGCCUAAUGUGGAACUCAAAUCCUGCCUGUUAGUCCCUAUUUGAGGACUUGGAAAAGACAAUGGGGAGAAGUCACCAAUUGUUGUCUUGUUAUGAGGACCUGGCCAUUGCAGCAGGUUGGUUCCAGAGAGGAAGACAGAUACUCAGUCUGAAACGUUAGCUGGGGAAAAUGGGAAUCAAUUAAAACUAUGCACGUGUUUCA
Non-coding RNA from Rattus norvegicus (Norway rat), 2020 nucleotides. NCBI's taxonomy places the organism in Eukaryota, Metazoa, Chordata, Mammalia, Rodentia, Muridae. The record is from RefSeq and is a predicted model, not a curated record.